Long non-coding RNA from Cyprinus carpio (common carp), 131 nucleotides. RefSeq lists it as uncharacterized. NCBI's taxonomy places the organism in Eukaryota, Metazoa, Chordata, Actinopteri, Cypriniformes, Cyprinidae. The record is from RefSeq and is a predicted model, not a curated record. The transcript is spliced from 3 exons.
UACGAUUUAUAAAUAGAACCCGAGAGCUCUGUCUAACAAACAGACUUUGGCCUCCAUUUGUUUUCCAGGCUGAAGAUGGCAUCUCUCUCUCACAGUGAUUUUGUUUCACUGGCUGAGGAGAAAUUUGACUU